Molecule: long non-coding RNA, 220 nt
Filed under: Panax ginseng (ginseng)
Lineage: Eukaryota; Viridiplantae; Streptophyta; Magnoliopsida; Apiales; Araliaceae
Description: long non-coding RNA (PGIN_LNC000956)
Source: RNAcentral
UAUAGAAUGCUCAACUAUUACAGGUAAACACUCAGUUACCAUAAGAGAUUGAUUGUGGUUUUGAUGAAAUAUGUGGACUGAGUUGAGUAGGUGCAGAGUAUUGCAGUGGAGUGUGGGGUAUAUAUGUAGAUUUUUUUAAGUGUUGAAUGUUGCCAUUGAUUGCUUGCUUGGAUUUUAGCCCAAACACCAAAAGGCUAGCUAGGCUCCAGUUGAACUGUUU